Molecule: ribosomal RNA, 28 nt
Filed under: Cladocopium sp. clade C
Lineage: Eukaryota; Dinophyceae; Suessiales; Symbiodiniaceae
Also listed under: 1 other name
Description: partial 18S ribosomal RNA
Source: RNAcentral
GGUGAACCUGCGGAAGGAUCAUUCGCAC